Molecule: ribosomal RNA, 685 nt
Filed under: Periconia sp.
Lineage: Eukaryota; Fungi; Ascomycota; Dothideomycetes; Pleosporales; Periconiaceae
Description: partial large subunit ribosomal RNA
Rfam family: Eukaryotic large subunit ribosomal RNA
Source: RNAcentral
CCCUAGUAACGGCGAGUGAAGCGGCAACAGCUCAAAUUUGAAAUCUGGCCCCUUUGGGGUCCGAGUUGUAAUUUGCAGAGGGUGCUUUGGCGUUGGCGGCGGUCUAAGUUCCUUGGAACAGGACAUCGCAGAGGGUGAGAAUCCCGUAUGUGGUCGCAUGCCUUCGCCGUGUAAAGCCCCUUCGACGAGUCGAGUUGUUUGGGAAUGCAGCUCUAAAUGGGAGGUAAAUUUCUUCUAAAGCUAAAUACCGGCCAGAGACCGAUAGCGCACAAGUAGAGUGAUCGAAAGAUGAAAAGCACUUUGGAAAGAGAGUCAAACAGCACGUGAAAUUGUUGAAAGGGAAGCGCUUGCAGCCAGACUUGCCUGUAGUUGCUCACCCGGGCUCCUGCCCGGGGCACUCUUCUGCAGGCAGGCCAGCAUCAGUUUGGGCGGUCGGAUAAAGGGCUCUGACACGUACUUCCCCUCGGGGUUGACAUACAGGGGAGCCGCAAUGCGACCAGCCCGGACUGAGGUCCGCGCAUCUGCUAGGAUGCUGGCGUAAUGGCUGUAAGCGGCCCGUCUUGAAACACGGACCAAGGAGUCUAACAUCUAUGCGAGUGUUUGGGUGUCAAGCCCGAGCGCGCAAUGAAAGUGAACGGAGGUGGGAGCCCCUCGGGGUGCACCAUCGACCGAUCCUGAUGUCUUC